UUAAUUAGUGAAAUCAGUGAAGAAUUUUCGAUAUGUUGAGAAAACAUCAGCGGAGUGUAAUGAAGACUCGUAUUUGGCAAUUUUACAUCUCUCAAGAGUAGAACUGCAUUGCAAGUUGCAAGAAAAAUUGCACCGUGUAACAUGGCCUUAACUAAACUAUAAAAUACAAUAUAAUACUCGUUGAUACUAUACUAUUAUCGAUACUUAAAAACUAUAAAAUGUCUUUAUUAAGGGUCUAUAAAAUGUCUUUAAUAAGUGUCUAUAAAAUGUCUU
Paramuricea clavata is the source of this 273-nucleotide non-coding RNA. The record is from the annotation of a GenBank genome assembly. NCBI's taxonomy places the organism in Eukaryota, Metazoa, Cnidaria, Anthozoa, Malacalcyonacea, Plexauridae.